RNAcentral lists this ribosomal RNA (1287 nucleotides) under Triticum aestivum (bread wheat). RNAcentral's name for it is "partial small subunit ribosomal RNA". Lineage: Eukaryota; Viridiplantae; Streptophyta; Magnoliopsida; Poales; Poaceae. The record is from RNAcentral.
AUGUCGCAAGAACUGGAGCGUGCGGCAGUGACGGCCAUGGCGCCCGAUGAGGUUCCGACGCCCUUGGCCACCCCUGUUCUUCCGCUGGCCAAAAGGAUGAAGGAAGAUCCGGCGGUUCCGGCCAUGGCGACUGAAGACUGUUCCAGGUGGUCCACGCUCCCACCGGAACUCCUCCGCCUCAUCGCUGAAUCCUUACUCGGCACCAACGACGUCGACUGCUACGUGGACUUCCGCGCCGUUUGCCCCAGCUGGCGUGCUGCCACCGACGAUCCAAAGGACAACACCUCUGACCGCCGCUUCCAUCCGCGGCGGUGGAUCGUCCUCGACCAGGUCUUCCAGAGCGAGGGGGAUUUUUUCCUGCUGAACACCGACACCGGCCGCUUCGUCCACAGGAAGCUCCCGCUGCUCAGCGAACACUACGUGGUGGCGACCACUUACAGCGGCUACGUCGUCCUGGCGGACAAAAGCCCUCCUCACGUGGCCAGCGUCCUCAACCCUCUCACCGGUGUCGUCGUCCGCUUUGCGAUGACCGUGCCCCCCGACGUGGGGGUUGCCCAUGUCGUCCUCUCCGGUGGCGGAUCUCUGCGCACGCUCAUAUUGGUCGGCAACUCGUCUCGCACACAUUACAUGGCUGGUCCCGACAACCAGGAUUUCACCACCGUCCAUAUGGCCUCGCCAGAUUAUGAUCUCCUAUUCAAGGCGGCCGUAGGUGGUGGCGUCUACACGUACCUCAAUCCAUACCUAGAUGGUGAGCACUACACGUACCUCAAUCCAUACGUAGAGGGUGUGCUCACUGUUAUCUACAACUUCUUGGGGACCUAUCGUUUUGAUCCUCUCAAGUUUUUCUCCGGCCAUGGCAACUACGACCGGGGCUUCCUAGUUGGUCUGGCUGGACACAUGCUGCUCAUCUUCAAGCCAAGCGGAAUCCACUAUCCCUGUGUUCUCAGAUUCGAUAAUGCGACACACCAACUUAUGCUUGUGCAGAGAAUCGGCAAAUAUGCCAUCUUCGUUGGCCAUCAGAGGUGUCUAGCUGUGGAUUCUGACAAGUUCCCAGGCGUCGAGGAGAACUGCGUCUAUUACACUCAACAUCUGGGUUCAUCCGCUUUCAUAUACAAAUGCAACAUCGCGGACAAGAAAGUGGAGAGGAUCUUUGAAUCAGACGAUUUCGUAAGGCAGGACAAGCAGUUUGUCCUGGUGGCCGACCGUCCUUUCACCAUCAUCCACAUUCUCUCCAGCUACACUAUCAACAUCCCGGAUUCUCAACUCGCCUCGCAACAGAUGCCAUAA